GAAAGGGUGACCGGACGUGGGGAGGAAGCGUGAAGCGAAACUGCGAGCCGAUGGACAAGGCUAACCGGAUAAAAGGCGUUGCCGAACAGGGCGAGCGGGCAUGUAACCGCGAAGCUCUCGCGCUUAAGGGUCAGGCGGCGUAGAUGCGGCGGUUGUGCGAUGAAGGAGUGGGUU
Candidatus Burkholderia pumila is the source of this 174-nucleotide non-coding RNA. NCBI's taxonomy places the organism in Bacteria, Pseudomonadati, Pseudomonadota, Betaproteobacteria, Burkholderiales, Burkholderiaceae. The record is from Rfam.